Molecule: ribosomal RNA, 1373 nt
Filed under: uncultured bacterium
Lineage: Bacteria
Description: bacterial SSU rRNA
Rfam family: Bacterial small subunit ribosomal RNA
Source: RNAcentral
GAUGAACGCUGGCGGCGUGCCUAAUACAUGCAAGUCGAGCGAACGGACGAGAAGCUUGCUUCUCUGAUGUUAGCGGCGGACGGGUGAGUAACACGUGGAUAACCUACCUAUAAGACUGGGAUAACUUCGGGAAACCGGAGCUAAUACCGGAUAAUAUUUUGAACCGCAUGGUUCAAAAGUGAAAGACGGUCUUGCUGUCACUUAUAGAUGGAUCCGCGCUGCAUUAGCUAGUUGGUAAGGUAACGGCUUACCAAGGCAACGAUGCAUAGCCGACCUGAGAGGGUGAUCGGCCACACUGGAACUGAGACACGGUCCAGACUCCUACGGGAGGCAGCAGUAGGGAAUCUUCCGCAAUGGGCGAAAGCCUGACGGAGCAACGCCGCGUGAGUGAUGAAGGUCUUCGGAUCGUAAAACUCUGUUAUUAGGGAAGAACAUAUGUGUAAGUAACUGUGCACAUCUUGACGGUACCUAAUCAGAAAGCCACGGCUAACUACGUGCCAGCAGCCGCGGUAAUACGUAGGUGGCAAGCGUUAUCCGGAAUUAUUGGGCGUAAAGCGCGCGUAGGCGGUUUUUUAAGUCUGAUGUGAAAGCCCACGGCUCAACCGUGGAGGGUCAUUGGAAACUGGAAAACUUGAGUGCAGAAGAGGAAAGUGGAAUUCCAUGUGUAGCGGUGAAAUGCGCAGAGAUAUGGAGGAACACCAGUGGCGAAGGCGACUUUCUGGUCUGUAACUGACGCUGAUGUGCGAAAGCGUGGGGAUCAAACAGGAUUAGAUACCCUGGUAGUCCACGCCGUAAACGAUGAGUGCUAAGUGUUAGGGGGUUUCCGCCCCUUAGUGCUGCAGCUAACGCAUUAAGCACUCCGCCUGGGGAGUACGACCGCAAGGUUGAAACUCAAAGGAAUUGACGGGGACCCGCACAAGCGGUGGAGCAUGUGGUUUAAUUCGAAGCAACGCGAAGAACCUUACCAAAUCUUGACAUCCUUUGACAACUCUAGAGAUAGAGCCUUCCCCUUCGGGGGGGCAAAGUGACAGGUGGUGCAUGGUUGUCGUCAGCCCGUGUCGUGAGAUGUUGGGUUAAGUCCCGCAACGAGCGCAACCCUUAAGCUUAGUUGCCAUCAUUAAGUUGGGCACUCUAAGUUGACUGCCGGUGACAAACCGGAGGAAGGUGGGGAUGACGUCAAAUCAUCAUGCCCCUUAUGAUUUGGGCUACACACGUGCUACAAUGGACAAUACAAAGGGCAGCGAAACCGCGAGGUCAAGCAAAUCCCAUAAAGUUGUUCUCAGUUCGGAUUGUAGUCUGCAACUCGACUACAUGAAGCUGGAAUCGCUAGUAAUCGUAGAUCAGCGUGCUACGGUGAAUACGUUCCCGGGUCU